Bufo bufo (common toad) is the source of this 522-nucleotide long non-coding RNA. RefSeq lists it as uncharacterized. The transcript is spliced from 3 exons. Lineage: Eukaryota; Metazoa; Chordata; Amphibia; Anura; Bufonidae. The record is from RefSeq and is a predicted model, not a curated record.
CAGGUAUCCAGUGCCAGCCGAGCCCCCUCACCAGAGGUGCCAAGUAUCCAGUGCCAGCCGAGCCCCCUCAAAGGUGCCAGGUAUCCAGUGCCAGCUGAGCCCCCUUACUGACAGGUAUCCAGUGCCAGCUGUGCCCCCUUACUGACAGAGGUGCCAGGUGUCCAGUACCAACUGUGCCUCUUCAGUAUGACAUGUGCCUAGUAUCCGGUGCCAGCCGAGCCUCCGUACUGUAGGGAGUGCCGGCCACGGCCUGUGGUGCCUCCCGCACUGAGGUGACGAGGUUAGGGGCCCGUGUUUCAGUCCAGGCUAUGGCUAUGAGCGAGCAGUGACCGUAGACAGGACGGAGGCAGCCCGGGUCCGCUCUCUCCGGAGACCUCGGCCGAUGCAGCUCCCGGCGCUCAGCCCGCAGCUCCUCCUCUAUCUCAUACGUUAAUCGGUGCCUUCGCCAUCUUUGGGGAGGGGAGGCGGAGCGAGGAGGAGCUGCCAUGGAGACGCCGAGUCCUCCGCAGCCAAUGAGGCUGA